Molecule: regulatory RNA element, 46 nt
Organism: Eurypyga helias (sunbittern)
Lineage: Eukaryota; Metazoa; Chordata; Aves; Eurypygiformes; Eurypygidae
Rfam family: Histone 3' UTR stem-loop
About the family: The mRNAs of metazoan histone genes lack a poly-A tail.
Source: Rfam
CCAAAGGCUCUUUUAAGAGCCACCCACUUUUUUCGGCUAAAGAGCU